Saimiri boliviensis boliviensis (Bolivian squirrel monkey) is the source of this 254-nucleotide non-coding RNA. The record is from RefSeq and is a predicted model, not a curated record. Lineage: Eukaryota; Metazoa; Chordata; Mammalia; Primates; Cebidae.
GUUUGCGUGUAGUCACAGUUCCCGCCAUCAGCCGCUCUCUCUGACUAGGGCUGAGUUGAUGGCUUCUGGAGAACUGGCAUAGCUGCAGAAUAUGAGUAGUGUCCCAAGAAGAGUGCUUUGCCUUUGGCACAAGGAUCAGAAUAAAGGUGAAUUGCUAUUACAUAGGGUUUUUCGAUAAAAGUCACUGAAAAUUAUUUGCCGUACAGUAACCAAGGCUUCCAACUAGGGGCCCCCAAACUGUAUCCUGCCUGUAG